RNAcentral lists this long non-coding RNA (5046 nucleotides) under Capsicum annuum. Its description in RNAcentral is "long non-coding RNA (CANN_LNC020817)". Lineage: Eukaryota; Viridiplantae; Streptophyta; Magnoliopsida; Solanales; Solanaceae. The record is from RNAcentral.
GUAAAAUAAAAGAACUACUAAAAUUGUCAACUUUCUUUAGGUUUGAUAUUGAUAUUUUAUCUUUACUUCAUAAUACAUUAUCAGCACGAGACUCUACCGUCUCAAAAUUUAAAGGCAAAGGAAAGAAAAUUGGACCAGAAGGUGGAGAAGGCAAGACCACAAGAACUAUAUGAUCAUCACGAUUUAAAUUUCACCUUUCUACUAUUUAUAAUAAGAUAAGUAUAUUAUUAACUCGUGUUGUUUAAGUUUGAAAAGAAUAUUGAUAAUCACAAAGUGGUGAUAUUGUUAUAGGCUUAAGUUGGAGUUUAUUAUACUUUGUCCUAAUAUGUUAUUGGUCGAGGGUGUGGUGAUGGAUUUAAGUCUCAUGUCAUUAAGAGGGUAAGAUAUCGGGUUACAGUUUUGAUGCACCAUUAUGAUAAGAUAUUGGUUUCAAGUUUUAUCGAUCUAUUGUCUAAGAUGCUUUUUAUUUGGAUAACACGUUGAGUUUGAAUCUCAAUGCACCAUAUUGAUGAUAUAAUGAUGAAUAAAGUAAAAUUUUGAUGAAAAAGUCAUGAAAUAUGUCCUACUGAAUAUGAUUCAUUCCCUGAAGUGAAUUGUAACGACCUAAAAAAUUGAUGAAAUAUAUGAAAUUAGUGAUUUUAUGUGAUUUAAUUAUUUCACCCCUCCCCUUAAUUAUAUUAUGAUAUUUCUGGGGUGUGUGAGUGAUUUGCAUGUUUUUUUAUGCAUUUUGGUAUCAUUUAUGCACUAUUGUAGUUUUUUAUGGUUUCGAAAUCCUUAUUUUGGACUUAUGUGGAUAUCUUUUGAUCCGUGCAACGGAUGGAAGAACGGACUGUGCCAGCAGCUUCGGAAUAUCAAUUUUAGCCUAGGUAGACCUUUGGUUCGGGUCUCGGUGCACCCGAACUCAUUUCGACCGAUUGAUCGAAAAGUUGGAAAAUUGAAAUUAUGGGUGUGGGACCCAUAUUUGAUUGAAUGAUCUCAGAUGAAAAAUUCAACUUCUCCAGCAGAUCCAGAAUGUCGAUUUUAGGGUGUUAGCAUAUUUGGUAUGAUUUUAUGACUUUUAAAUCUCAUUUCGACCCUUAGUUUAAAAAAUUAUAAUUUCAGAUUUCGGGGAUCAACUUUGUGAAAAUAAUAUUUUUUUGAAAAUUUGAUAUCAUCAUCGCGUCCGGAACAUCGAAUUUAGUGUGGUUUCAUAGUUCGUUUGCAUAAAUCGAACUCCGAACGAAUCCCGGGCACCCCAUCGAAAUUCAUUCGACUUAAGGAAAAAAAUCCGCACAGCUAUUGCAGAAAAUCUUAAAUAAAUAGCCGAUUUUUCAACCUUUUUGGCUCAUUUUGCUCAUUUUCAUCUUGCCUCUUGGAAGUUAAACCCUAAAAUAGUGUGGAAGUUUAAAAGUAAAGUUUGUGAGAGGUUGGGAAGCUAGAUUAACUCCUUUUUUUUGUUUUAUUACGGAUUAAAGGUAAGAAUUCACCAUUUUCUUAAUAAUUUCUUGAUUAAUUUCUCAAAAUCCCAAAAAUCUUAGAGCAUGAUUUUAAAUCCAAAUUUCACUCUUUUCACUUGAAUAAUAUUUUUAUAUAAUUACUAGUUUUUCAUCAAUUUAACUUUCAAAAUAACUCUGAUUCUUGAUUUUAACCCGAAUUUCAAACAUUUUACCCGAUAAAGCUCAAAAAUGAUUUUUCUUCGAUUUGAACCCUGUUUUUUACUUAAUUUAACUUGGGUUUUCAGCUGUAGGUUCCUAAAAAUAUGGGGAACAUAUUUUUGAAGUAAAGUUUUGAUUUUGCCCUUCUUUCUUGAAACUCAUUUUGGGGGUUCGUUUUGACCCCGAAUCAAAAGUAGUCAAUAUGAGUGUCGUUGGUUUUGUCUUGACGUGUAGAUUUCAUAUUUGAUGUUUUUAGCAGAGUUUGAGAUUAUUCGUGAAAAGUAAGAUCACGGGUUCAAGUGUAGCGAACCGAUUUUGGCUUUUGAGGUAGGUUAUGACUUAACUCUUUUAGACUGGGUUAGGUAGUAAACAAUGGUACAAAAUACAUGCUAAGGGUGGGAACUAAUCAUGAAAAAUGGCUAUCUAUGUGUUGUGCCCGUGUGGGGGCUUAUAUGUGAUGUAAUUAUCGAAACUGAGAUAUUAUGUGAUAUGUGUGACCGUGUGGGGUCCUUUGUGAUAUUGAUAGCCUUGAAUACAUAUGAAUAAUUGUAUUGUGUUUUUAAAAUUCUUAAUGUGGUACCAUUGCAGUAAUGUGAUUAUAUUCAUACUUUAUUGCCAAAUGCGACAUGUGAAAAUUCAUGGAUGAUAUGAAAAUAAUGAGUGGAUAUUCGCCCAUGUGGUUGUGAAAAAGUAUCAUUGUGGUUGGUUGUGGAAAUAUAUCAUGUGGUUGUUUGUGAAAAUACUCAUUGUGAUUGGUUUUGAGCAUUACAUCUUCAUAUCAUACUCAUUCAUGAAACAUUGGUACUACUGUGGCAAUAUCUGAGAAACACUGGCAACACAUUUUUAAAAGAUAUUGUAACACCUUAUAAAACUCUUUCCAGGGGAUGUGCCGGAAAGGAUAUAUGAGAUAUGUGGGUUGUAUACGGGUUGACGAACCCCCCGUGGGUUCUGCGUUGGGAAGCUUGCCUCCGUAGAUGUAUACGGGGAUUGUGCGAUGAUUCCGGAGGUUGUGCGACGACCUCGUGCAUCAUCAUCAUCAUCAUCAUAUACAUUGCACUUACUUUAUUGUAUUUAUGUUGUGUUGUAUUUCCUUAUUGACUUGUAAUGAUCUCGGAUGAAAAAUUCAAAUUCUCCAGCAGAUCCAGAAUGUCGAUUUUAGGGUGUUAGCAUAUUUGGUAUGAUUUUACGACUUUUAAAUCUCAUUUCGACCCUUAGUUUAAAAAAUUAUAAUUUCAGAUUUCGGGGAUCAACUUUGUGAAAAUAAUAUUUUUUUGAAAAUUUGAUAUCAUCAUCGCGUCCGGAACAUCGAAUUUAGUGUGGUUUCAUAGUUCGUUUGCAUAAAUCGAACUCCGAACGAAUCCCGGGCACCCCAUCGAAAUUCAUUCGACUUAAGGAAAAAAAUCCGCACAGCUAUUGCAGAAAAUCUUAAAUAAAUAGCCGAUUUUUCAACCUUUUUGGCUCAUUUUGCUCAUUUUCAUCUUGCCUCUUGGAAGUUAAACCCUAAAAUAGUGUGGAAGUUUAAAAGUAAAGUUUGUGAGAGGUUGGGAAGCUAGAUUAACUCCUUUUUUAUGUUUUAUUACGGAUUAAAGGUAAGAAUUCACCAUUUUCUUAAUAAUUUCUUGAUUAAUUUCUCAAAAUCCCAAAAAUCUUAGAGCAUGAUUUUAAAUCCAAAUUUCACUCUUUUCACUUGAAUAAUAUUUUUAUAUAAUUACUAGUUUUUCAUCAAUUUAACUUUCAAAACAACUCUGAUUCUUGAUUUUAACCCAAAUUUCAAACAUUUUACCCGAUAAAGCUCAAAAAUGAUUUUUCUUCGAUUUGAACCCUGUUUUUUACUUAAUUUAACUUGGGUUUUCAGCUGUAGGUUCCUAAAAAUAUGGGGAACAUAUUUUUGAAGUAAAGUUUUGAUUUUGCCCUUCUUUCUUGAAACUCAUUUUGGGGGUUCGUUUUGACCCCGAAUCAAAAGUAGUCAAUAUGAGUGUCGUUGGUUUUGUCUUGACGUGUAGAUUUCAUAUUUGAUGUUUUUAGCAGAGUUUGAGAUUAUUCGUGAAAAGUAAGAUCACGGGUUCAAGUGUAGCGAACCGAUUUUGGCUUUUGAGGUAGGUUAUGACUUAACUCUUUUAGACUGGGUUAGGUAGUAAACAAUGGUACAAAAUACAUGCUAAGGGUGGGAACUAAUCAUGAAAAAUGGCUAUCUAUGUGUUGUGCCCGUGUGGGGGCUUAUAUGUGAUGUAAUUAUCGAAACUGAGAUAUUAUGUGAUAUGUGUGACCGUGUGGGGUCCUUUGUGAUAUUGAUAGCCUUGAAUACAUAUGAAUAAUUGUAUUGUGUUUUUAAAAUUCUUAAUGUGGUACCAUUGCAGUAAUGUGAUUAUAUUCAUACUUUAUUGCCAAAUGCGACAUGUGAAAAUUCAUGGAUGAUAUGAAAAUAAUGAGUGGAUAUUCGCCCAUGUGGUUGUGAAAAAGUAUCAUUGUGGUUGGUUGUGGAAAUAUAUCAUGUGGUUGUUUGUGAAAAUACUCAUUGUGAUUGGUUUUGAGCAUUACAUCUUCAUAUCAUACUCAUUCAUGAAACAUUGGUACCACUGUGGCAAUAUCUGAGAAACACUGGCAACACAUUUUUAAAAGAUAUUGUAACACCUUAUAAAACUCUUUCCAGGGGAUGUGCCGGAAAGGAGAUAUGAGAUAUGUGGGUUGUAUACGGGUAGACGAACCCCCCGUGGGUUCUGCGUUGGGAAGCUUGCCUCCGUAGAUGUAUACGGGGAUUGUGCGAUGAUUCCGGAGGUUGUGCGACAACCUCGUGCAUCAUCAUCAUCAUCAUAUACAUUGCACUUACUUUAUUGUAUUUAUGUUGUGUUGUAUUUCCUUAUUGACUUGUUAUCUAUGUAUUUAUCUUACCUUUCUUUGCUUGUAUUUGAUAAUCCCGUAUCUACAUGUUCUCUCUUGUUCUAUUUAUAUGUGACAUAAUGUAUAUUUGUGUUCUAUAUCUUGGUGUGUUGUUGUAAUAUAUGUGAGAUAUAUUAGAACUAUUAGUGCAAGCGGUGUGGGCUACCGUUGUCGGAUAUUUUCUGAUUGCAGGUGUUGUGCCCUUAGUGUGUAUUUUGUAUGCUUUAUUUACUACUUUGCUUGAUCGGCCUAUGAUACCUACUGAGUACAAGUGGACCGUACUCAUGCCUACUGCAUUCUUUCGGUGCAGGUCUUAGCUCGAGUGUGCCUUAGCUUGAUUGACUAGGACGACUAUUGGAUCUUCCAAGGUAGCAGUUGAACAUUCAUGCAUCCAAAGUUCACCUCUAUCUUUCUAUAGUAGUUAUGUCUUUAUUAGUAUUAGGAGACAGUUAUUAUUUUUUUGUGGUUAUUUUUCGAUGUAUUUGACUCUUGAAUUGUAUUAAUAGUUCUUACAUUAUUGACGCCUGGUUUUGGG